AUUCGUAUGGGCAUAUUUACAAUUAUCUACGAGCAAGGCUAAAAAAAAAAAGAUAGAUUAAGGUAAAAUAGUCAGAUAAAGUCCUGAUAGUAUGCUGAUAAGCCCUUUGCACUAUAUAUACACGGGCGUACGAACGGAAAGUGAGGCUAGCCGUGACAUUUAUCAAGUAGGAAAUGCCAAUGGAAAAUCAAUAUAUUGGUUGGUGAGUGGAGUAAGGAAGGUUCUAGCGCCCCAUGGGGAAAAAACUUACCUGACAGUUCCGAUACGUCUAGACAGCUGGAUCGGCUUUUGGUUCUUUGCAGCAAACGUUGCAGGGGCUGCUGUCGUUGAGGACUGCCAUUGGACUGUCCAUCGGAGCCGCUAACCCAGUCGGUAUCGAUGGCCUUGGAUGCACUACGUUUAAAAUGCUCCAAAAAGUGAUCAAUUUGCUUUUCUAUGGAACUGGACGGCGAAUUUUCCAUUUUAGCUUUUACAUUUUUACAUACGCAAAUUAAGGCCUGAAAUUUUUGGUGCACUUUAACAAGAAAUAAAAUUCUAUUCGAUUUUUGGCACUUAUCAAAUGGAGGACGAUACACAAUUAACAAGAUUGUAAGUACAUAAUAUUUUUCUUAUGCCUUGCGUUUAUUUUAAUCGAACUUGACACAACAAAAUAAUAUAUUUUUUUUAUCUCUACACUAAUAUUUGCUGCGUUUUGUAUCGGGUCCUUUCAGAUGACUCAACCUUAACCGCUCUUCCGCAUCGCUCAACCAAGACUGAGAGCACGGCGUGGGUAGCUGUUGCCACAGCCACAGAUUAACUGAGCGAACGGGUGUCUCUGAGGAUAUACCCAGAAGUUGGCUGUGGAUGAGAACGCGACCAUGACGCCGCCACGACUGGGAGAGCCGGCAAAAUUCUCGUUUUUAUUUGUGCUUCCUCUGUUGACCUCUCAGUGACGCUGAAAGCUUUGGUUGGCACGUGUUGUUUGUGAAUUAAAAUCUCUGUCAUGCGCACUAAUGCAGCACUUACAGGUUAAUACGUACAUGCAUACAUAUUUACGUAAAUGUUCAUAUGCUUAUUUUGCGAUAUCAGCUGUUCGUAUCCCUUUAAAUUAAGCACUGGGGUAUGCCUACUCACCCUCUGAUAAUAAAAGCCGUAUAGCUAUUAUGGAUGCUUUCAUUUUUAGAGCAAA
Drosophila virilis is the source of this 1168-nucleotide non-coding RNA. The record is from RefSeq and is a predicted model, not a curated record. Lineage: Eukaryota; Metazoa; Arthropoda; Insecta; Diptera; Drosophilidae.